UGGAAGUAAAAGUCGUAACAAGGUUUCCGUAGGUGAACCUGCGGAAGGAUCAUUAUUGAAUUCAUAUAUGCAAAGGAGUUGUGCUGGUAAUAAAUAUUGCAUGUGCACACUCUGAAGCUAUAUAAUAUAUACACCUGUGAACCAACUGUAGUCUGGAGAAAUCCUGACUAUGAUUACUCUAUAUAACUCUUAUUGUAUGUUACAUAGAACGAUCUCAUAUUGAAGCUUUGUUUUUUUUUUUACAAGUUUCUCUUAAUUGAAAAAUACACAACUUUCAACAACGGAUCUCUUGGCUCUUGCAUCGAUGAAGAACGCAGCGAAAUGCGAUAAGUAAUGUGAAUUGCAGAAUCCAGUGAAUCAUCGAAUCUUUGAACGCACCUUGCGCCCUUUGGUAUUCCGAGGGGCAUGCCUGUUUGAGAGUCAUUAAAUUCUCAACCUUACAAAUUUUUGUAUUUGUCAAGGCUUGGAUGUGAGAGUUGCUAGUUAGAGAAUAUUCUGACUGGCUCUCUUUAAAACUAUUAGUAGGACAUAUAGAAAUUGCCUGCGGUUGGUGUGAUAAUAUGUCUACGCCUAUACCAAAGGGGAGAUUCUAGCUUGUAUGCACUACUUAUAAAAUCAUGCGCAUAUAUCUAGCAUAUAAGUGCAUAUAUUGACCAUUUGACCUCAAAUCAGGUAGGACUACCCGCUGAACUUAAGCAUAUCAAUAAGCAUAUCAAUAAGCGGAGGA
RNAcentral lists this ribosomal RNA (727 nucleotides) under Agroathelia rolfsii. RNAcentral describes it as "eukaryotic LSU rRNA". The stretch from base 270 to 423 matches the Rfam family "5.8S ribosomal RNA". Lineage: Eukaryota; Fungi; Basidiomycota; Agaricomycetes; Amylocorticiales; Amylocorticiaceae. The record is from RNAcentral.